AUUGAACGCUGGCGGCAGGCCUAACACAUGCAAGUCGAACGAGUGGCGGACGGGUGAGUAAUGUCUGGGAAACUGCCCGAUGGAGGGGGAUAACUACUGGAAACGGUAGCUAAUACCGCAUACCAUCGGAUGUGCCCAGAUGGGAUUAGCUAGUCAGUGUGGUAACGGCUCACCUAGGCGACGAUCACUAGCUGGGCUGAGCGGAUGACCAGCGACACGGGAACUGAGACACGGGCCAGACUCCGACGGGAGGAAGGAGUGGGGAAUAUUGCACAAUGGGCGAAAGCCUGAUGCAGACAUGCCGCGUGUAUGAAGAAGGCCUUCGGGUUGUAAAGUACUUUCAGCGAGGAGGAGUUACUCGCAGAAGAAGCACCGGCUAACUCCGUGCCAGCAGCCGCGGUAAUAC
This 406-nucleotide ribosomal RNA is filed under the name uncultured bacterium. Its description in RNAcentral is "partial 16S ribosomal RNA". It matches the Rfam family "Bacterial small subunit ribosomal RNA", at positions 29 to 526 of the family's 1533-position model. The record is from RNAcentral.